UGUGGGGUGCUGGGGGUGCUCUAUGGGGUGCCGGGGGGGCGCUAUGGGGCGCUGGGGGGCGCUCUGGGUGCUGUGGGGUGCUGGGGGUGCUCUGAGCCCCACGGAUGCUGCAGGGACCGCGGGUGCCGUGGGUGCUGCGGGUGCCCUGAGGUGCUGCGGGUGCUGCAGCGGCUGCAGGUACCAUGGGUCCCAUGGGUGCUGUGGGUCCUGGGGGUCCCGGGGGGGCGGGGGGGGUCCCAUGGGUGCUGGGGGUCCCGUGGGUGCUAUGGGUGCUGUGAGCCCCGUGGGUCCCAAGGGUGCUGGGAGCCGAAUGGGUGCCAUGGGUCCCAUGGGUGCUACACUUGCUGUAAGUGCUGGGGGUCCCAUGGGUGCUGGGGGUCCCAUGGGUGCUGUGGGUCCCAUGGGUGCUGGGGGUCCCAUGGGUGCCACGGGUCCCAUGGGUGCCAGGGAUCCCAUGGGUGCUAUGAGCACUGCAGGUCCCAUGGGUGCUGAGGGUCCCGUGGGUGCUGGGAGUCCCGUGGGUGCUGGGACUCCCACGGGUGCGCGGGACCCAUGGGUGCUGGUGUCCCAUGGGUGCUAUGGGAGCUGUGAGCGCCACCGAGUCCCAUGGGUGCUGGGACUCCCAUGGGUGCUGGGGACCCCCCCGGGUGCUGCAGCACCCAUGGGUGCCGGUGUCCCAUGGGUGCCGGUGUCCCAUGGGUGCUGGGAGUCUCAUGGGUGCUGGGGACCCCCCGGGUGCGCGGCACCCAUGGGUGCCGGUGUCCCAUGGGUGCCAGGGAUCCCAUGGGUGCUAUGAGCACUGCAGGUCCCAUGGGUGCUGGGAGUCCCACGGGUGCUACGGGAGCUGUGAGCACCACCGGGUCCCAUGGGUGCUGGGAGUCCCAUGGGUGCUGGGGACCCCCUGGGUGUGCGGCACCCAUGGGUGCCGGUGUCCUAUGGGUGCUGGGAGUCCCACGGGUGCUGGGGACCCCCCGGGUGCGCGGCACCCAUGGGUGCCGGUGUCCCA
This 1006-nucleotide long non-coding RNA is filed under the name Anas platyrhynchos platyrhynchos (common mallard). RNAcentral describes it as "lncRNA (ENSAPLG00000025836.1)". Lineage: Eukaryota; Metazoa; Chordata; Aves; Anseriformes; Anatidae. The record is from RNAcentral.